RNA transcript from Otolemur garnettii (small-eared galago), 648 nucleotides. It is a transcript of the gene named biogenesis of lysosome-related organelles complex 1 subunit 6 pseudogene, with no coding region annotated. Lineage: Eukaryota; Metazoa; Chordata; Mammalia; Primates; Galagidae. The annotation marks the transcript as partial. The transcript has a single exon. The record is from RefSeq and is a predicted model, not a curated record.
AUGAGUGUCCCUGGGCCGCGGUCCCCGAAUGGGCUCCCACAGGGCCACCCAACAGUCUGGAGGCCGGGGAGCCGACACCGGGUUUAAGUGACACUUCUCCAGAUGAAGGGUUAAUAGAGGACUUGCCUGUAGAAGACAAAGCUGUGGAGCAACUGGCAGAAGGAUUGCUUUCUCAUUAUUUGCCAGAUCUGCAGAGAUCGAAACAAGCCCUCCAAGAACUCACACAGAACCAAGUUGUAUUAUUAGACACACUGGAACAAGAAAUUUCAAAAUUUAAAGAAUGUCAUUCUAUGUUGGACAUUAAUGCUUUGUUCACGGAGGCUAAACACUAUCAUGCCAAACUGGUGAAUAUAAGGAAAGAGAUGCUAAUGCUUCACGAAAAAACAUCAAAGGUAAAAAAAAGAGCCCUUCAACUGCAGCAGAAGAGGCAGAAAGAAGAGUUGGAAAGGGAGCAGCAACGAGAGAAGGAAUUGGAACGAGAAAAGCAGUUAACUGCCAGACCAGCUAAAAGGACAUGAAAAGUUGUAUUUGUGUGUUUUCUUCUCCAUUCAAUAUUUGGAUUAAGCAACUUAAAUGUGUUGACUGAACUUGAGGUAGUGCCUUAUACCAUGAUUAUGGUUUCUCCAUAUCUUCAUUUCAGACAUUCAA